UUCGUUUGAAUAGAUGGUCUGAGAAGCAAGCUCCUAGAUGGAGCAUCAAGUGGAACGCCCAUCCCACAGACUUGAAGGAAGACCUCGUCUCCUCUCCUAACUUCUUUGCUCUCCAUGAGUUCUUAAUCUCCAAGACCAGACAAAAACAAAGGAUUUUUAGAGUAAGCAGCAGAACAGAAAGAACGUCAGCGGAACAGAAAGGAGUCCCUGCUUUCAGAGGUGGCACAAAGCUCCAGAAUCACCACGGGCUUUGUGCUGGGUCAGCUGGCACCCACCUGGCAGGUUUUAGGAAGAACAAGAGCGUUCGUUUGAAUAGAUGGUCUGAGAAGCAAGCUCCUAGAUGGAGCAUCAAGUGGAACGCCC
RNAcentral lists this long non-coding RNA (363 nucleotides) under Equus caballus (horse). RNAcentral describes it as "lncRNA (ENSECAG00000030472.3)". The record is from RNAcentral. Lineage: Eukaryota; Metazoa; Chordata; Mammalia; Perissodactyla; Equidae.